This 3006-nucleotide ribosomal RNA is filed under the name Salmonella enterica subsp. enterica. RNAcentral's name for it is "bacterial LSU rRNA". It matches the Rfam family "Bacterial large subunit ribosomal RNA". Lineage: Bacteria; Pseudomonadati; Pseudomonadota; Gammaproteobacteria; Enterobacterales; Enterobacteriaceae. The record is from RNAcentral.
UUAAGCGACUAAGCGUACACGGUGGAUGCCCUGGCAGUCAGAGGCGAUGAAGGGCGUGCUAAUCUGCGAUAAGCGCCGGUAAGGUGAUAUGAACCGUUAUAACCGGCGAUACCCGAAUGGGGAAACCCAGUGUGAUUCGUCACACUAUCAUUAACUGAAUCCAUAGGUUAAUGAGGCGAACCGGGGGAACUGAAACAUCUAAGUACCCCGAGGAAAAGAAAUCAACCGAGAUUCCCCCAGUAGCGGCGAGCGAACGGGGAGGAGCCCAGAGCCUGAAUCAGCAUGUGUGUUAGUGGAAGCGUCUGGAAAGGCGCGCGAUACAGGGUGACAGCCCCGUACACAAAAGCGCAUGUGCUGUGAGCUCGAUGAGUAGGGCGGGACACGUGGUAUCCUGUCUGAAUAUGGGGGGACCAUCCUCCAAGGCUAAAUACUCCUGACUGACCGAUAGUGAACCAGUACCGUGAGGGAAAGGCGAAAAGAACCCCGGCGAGGGGAGUGAAAAAGAACCUGAAACCGUGUACGUACAAGCAGUGGGAGCCCCACCACCAAAGCAUUCUCUGGUGUUGAAGGCCCUGCAAAGCAGCAUCGCGGUGGCGGAGCGUCGUUUGCGACGCCCAACACACAAAACAAGCGGUGAGUGCUUUGGGGUGGGGUGACUGCGUACCUUUUGUAUAAUGGGUCAGCGACUUAUAUUCUGUAGCAAGGUUAACCGUAUAGGGGAGCCGGAGGGAAACCGAGUCUUAACCGGGCGUUAAGUUGCAGGGUAUAGACCCGAAACCCGGUGAUCUAGCCAUGGGCAGGUUGAAGGUUGGGUAACACUAACUGGAGGACCGAACCGACUAAUGUUGAAAAAUUAGCGGAUGACCUGUGGCUGGGGGUGAAAGGCCAAUCAAACCGGGAGAUAGCUGGUUCUCCCCGAAAGCUAUUUAGGUAGCGCCUCGUGAAUUCAUCUCCGGGGGUAGAGCACUGUUUCGGCUAGGGGGCCAUCCCGGCUUACCAACCCGAUGCAAACUGCGAAUACCGGAGAAUGUUAUCACGGGAGACACACGGCGGGUGCUAACGUCCGUCGUGAAGAGGGAAACAACCCAGACCGCCAGCUAAGGUCCCAAAGUCAUGGUUAAGUGGGAAACGAUGUGGGAAGGCCCAGACAGCCAGGAUGUUGGCUUAGAAGCAGCCAUCAUUUAAAGAAAGCGUAAUAGCUCACUGGUCGAGUCGGCCUGCGCGGAAGAUGUAACGGGGCUAAACCAUGCACCGAAGCUGCGGCAGCGACGCUGAUGCGUUGUUGGGUAGGGGAGCGUUCUGUAAGCCUGCGAAGGUGGCCUGUGAGGGUUGCUGGAGGUAUCAGAAGUGCGAAUGCUGACAUAAGUAACGAUAAAGCGGGUGAAAAGCCCGCUCGCCGGAAGACCAAGGGUUCCUGUCCAACGUUAAUCGGGGCAGGGUGAGUCGACCCCUAAGGCGAGGCCGAAAGGCGUAGUCGAUGGGAAACGGGUUAAUAUUCCCGUACUUGGUGUUACUGCGAAGGGGGGACGGAGAAGGCUAUGUUGGCCGGGCGACGGUUGUCCCGGUUUAAGCGUGUAGGUGUGUGUUCCAGGUAAAUCCGGUUCACUUUAACACUGAGGCGUGAUGACGAGGCACUACGGUGCUGAAGCAACAAAUGCCCUGCUUCCAGGAAAAGCCUCUAAGCAUCAGGUAACAUCAAAUCGUACCCCAAACCGACACAGGUGGUCAGGUAGAGAAUACCAAGGCGCUUGAGAGAACUCGGGUGAAGGAACUAGGCAAAAUGGUGCCGUAACUUCGGGAGAAGGCACGCUGACAUGUAGGUGAAGUGAUUUACUCAUGGAGCUGAAGUCAGUCGAAGAUACCAGCUGGCUGCAACUGUUUAUUAAAAACACAGCACUGUGCAAACACGAAAGUGGACGUAUACGGUGUGACGCCUGCCCGGUGCCGGAAGGUUAAUUGAUGGGGUCAGCGCAAGCGAAGCUCCUGAUCGAAGCCCCGGUAAACGGCGGCCGUAACUAUAACGGUCCUAAGGUAGCGAAAUUCCUUGUCGGGUAAGUUCCGACCUGCACGAAUGGCGUAAUGAUGGCCAGGCUGUCUCCACCCGAGACUCAGUGAAAUUGAACUCGCUGUGAAGAUGCAGUGUACCCGCGGCAAGACGGAAAGACCCCGUGAACCUUUACUAUAGCUUGACACUGAACAUUGAGCCUUGAUGUGUAGGAUAGGUGGGAGGCUUUGAAGUGUGGACGCCAGUCUGCAUGGAGCCGACCUUGAAAUACCACCCUUUAAUGUUUGAUGUUCUAACGUGGACCCGUAAUCCGGGUUGCGGACAGUGUCUGGUGGGUAGUUUGACUGGGGCGGUCUCCUCCUAAAGAGUAACGGAGGAGCACGAAGGUUGGCUAAUCCUGGUCGGACAUCAGGAGGUUAGUGCAAUGGCAUAAGCCAGCUUGACUGCGAGCGUGACGGCGCGAGCAGGUGCGAAAGCAGGUCAUAGUGAUCCGGUGGUUCUGAAUGGAAGGGCCAUCGCUCAACGGAUAAAAGGUACUCCGGGGAUAACAGGCUGAUACCGCCCAAGAGUUCAUAUCGACGGCGGUGUUUGGCACCUCGAUGUCGGCUCAUCACAUCCUGGGGCUGAAGUAGGUCCCAAGGGUAUGGCUGUUCGCCAUUUAAAGUGGUACGCGAGCUGGGUUUAGAACGUCGUGAGACAGUUCGGUCCCUAUCUGCCGUGGGCGCUGGAGAACUGAGGGGGGCUGCUCCUAGUACGAGAGGACCGGAGUGGACGCAUCACUGGUGUUCGGGUUGUCAUGCCAAUGGCACUGCCCGGUAGCUAAAUGCGGAAGAGAUAAGUGCUGAAAGCAUCUAAGCACGAAACUUGCCCCGAGAUGAGUUCUCCCUGAGACUUAGAGUCUCCUGAAGGAACGUUGAAGACGACGACGUUGAUAGGCCGGGUGUGUAAGCGCAGCGAUGCGUUGAGCUAACCGGUACUAAUGAACCGUGAGGCUUAACCUU